GCCGAUGCUUAUUCUUCAGGUACACGUCAUUUUGUUCCUCCCUGAAAAAAGAGGUUUACAACCCAUAGGCCGUCAUCCCUCACGCGAGAUUGCUCCGUCAGGCUUUCGCCCAUUGCGGAAAAUUCCC
RNAcentral lists this ribosomal RNA (127 nucleotides) under uncultured bacterium. RNAcentral's name for it is "partial 16S ribosomal RNA". The record is from RNAcentral.